Molecule: small RNA, 521 nt
Filed under: uncultured Tomentella
Lineage: Eukaryota; Fungi; Basidiomycota; Agaricomycetes; Thelephorales; Thelephoraceae
Description: eukaryotic LSU rRNA
Rfam family: 5.8S ribosomal RNA (bases 159-313)
Source: RNAcentral
CAUGUGCACGCUCUGUUUACGCAUCCACUCACACCUGUGCACCCUCCGUAGUUCUGUGGCAUGGGGGACUCUGUCCUCCUGUUGUGGCUCUACGUUUUUACACGCGCUCUGUAACAAAGUAUCAUGGAAUGUAUGCCGCGUUUAACGCAAUACAAUACAACUUUCAGCAACGGAUCUCUUGGCUCUCGCAUCGAUGAAGAACGCAGCGAAAUGCGAUAAGUAAUGUGAAUUGCAGAAUUCAGUGAAUCAUCGAAUCUUUGAACGCACCUUGCGCCCUUUGGCUAUUCCGAAGGGCAUGCCUGUUUGAGUAUCAUGAACACCUCAACUCUCGUGGUUUGCUACGAUGAGCUUGGACUUUGGGGGUUUUGCUGGCCUGUGGUCGGCUCCUCUCAAAUGAAUCAGCUUCCCAGCGUUUGGUGGAGUCGCAGGUGUGAUAACUAUCUACGCUUGUUGUUUUUCACCAGAUAACCUUCGGCGAUGGAGGUUCGUUGGGGCUCAUAAACGUCUCACCUCAGCGAAGA